Molecule: long non-coding RNA, 2720 nt
Filed under: Olea europaea (common olive)
Lineage: Eukaryota; Viridiplantae; Streptophyta; Magnoliopsida; Lamiales; Oleaceae
Description: long non-coding RNA (OEUR_LNC010595)
Source: RNAcentral
UUUGUGUUGGUGAUUGAUUACAUAAUUGAUGGCACUUCUGUUAGAUAAACCUGCCAAGUAUAAUAGUAUCUUAUGUUUUGAGCAAGGACAUUGCCAGGUUCUGAUACUAGAAUCUGCUGACUCAUGAAAAAAGAAGCUAGGUGAGAAUCUGUUUAAAAUUGAAGUGAUUAAAUGAAUUAAUUUCAGUUGUUAUGCACAUCCUUGUUUCUCCGAAGAACCUGGGAAGUUUUUUCUUGGGCCAGAAAACUAGCAGCACUGUACUUCGAUCAAUUCCCUUCCCCUUUCGCCGUAUUCAAUAGCUUAUUUGCACUGGCAUCGUAUUACCCAGAAGCAGGGUAUGAAGUGUGAGAAUGAAGACACAAGUCUUAUUUUUGCUAGACUGGGGACAAAGUGAGAUAACGGACAGGGGAUGGCAGGAAGGGGUGUGGUGUUGGGGGGGGGGGGGGGUUAUGCUGCACAGGGAUGGAUUGUUUGGAGGGGCAGAAUAAGUUUCUCUUUUAACACAUCACAAUUCAUAUACAAGAUGCUGUGACUUUUUAACGGUUUUUUGGGCGCAAUAUGUUAGUGAGGAGGCAAGUGCUACAGAAAAUGAGUUUGUUUCUAACUAUUGGUUGGAACCCAAAGUGUUAAAAUGCUAAUGCAUGUGAAGGUUGGGGUCCUCUUGUACUAUUUUCUCGUUAAGUUACGUUAGUUUUGUCAUGGAUCCUUUCCAGAAGGUAUCGAUCAUUGCUUCUGUAACUAUAGCAAAUCUGCAGUAAGCAGUCCAAUAAAAUGUCGUAGUAUGUAGAGCAUGUUUGGGAGUGCUUAUAGCUCAUUAACGGGGCUUAUACUGGCAGCAUCGAUGUUCAAAUUUUUUUUUUUUGCCUUGAGUGGCUUCGUGUGAGGCCUUCCUUAGGAACUUCAAAGCUUGUGCUCCGUAACCUAAGUUUUACAAUGUGGUUUUGCUUUUUGGGUCUUUCCAUUUGCUUCCUUCCUUUACAACCUUUUGGGCUCGACUGGAAUGUUGUAAGGAUUUCUUGUUUUUUUUUUGUAUAAUUCUAUCUUGGUCUAGGUAGAAACUUUUAAGGCUGACUCCACACUUUAACUUGCAUUCCGGUUUUUUAAGGAUUUCCUAUUCCUGGCAUAGCAAGGACUAUCGAUUCUCCAUCCUGUAUAAUGAAUACUCCCCUUUCUCUCGACAGAAACAAUAUACGAAUUUUUUAGCACUUAACCACAUUUAUGUUAUGGAUUUCAUUGUUCAAAAAAAGUCAAUAAGCAAACAACGAAUCCAUGGGUAUUCGAACUUGGGUAUCAGGAAUAAGCAGAAUAUUUGAUGGGAGAUAAAGUUGCACAAAGGUUUAGAAUUUUAAUCAAUUAGUUCUCGCAUCUAGAUAAAAUAAAGUGUUAAGUACACUAGUGAGGGGAUAUGAUGCCUUGCCGUACCUCUGGAUUUACACGAGGAGAAGAGAACAAGCUUAUCAAGGAAAUAAAACUUGGGUUUCUAAUCCUGGAUUCGUUAUUAUGUGAGCCCCGCUUUAUGCAUUAAGUAGAAAUACUGGCCUCUUUCUUAACUUUAAAAUCACAAGGCAUAUUUUAUAUGUUCGACUAGACAUGACUGAAUAUCGUCAAUGGUAAGUCCUAAAAUUUAAUUAUAUAUAUGCAUGAGUUCUAUUUUUGUUUGUAGAUGACAGCGUCCAUUAGGAGCAUGGUGAUAAGGGCUACUCCACCUGUUACAAACUUCCACCAGGGAAAAUUCCAGCUCCUUUGAGCCUUGAGACGGUUCAUAGGUCUAUUCAUGGUGGCUUCGUCUGUUUGAGUAGGUGAAUGACAAGUUCAAGUAAUAAAAGGUUCGUAGGUCUAGAACUCCCUUGUCCUUUCGGUCGAGAAAGAUCGGAUUACUCCAGUGUUGAGGAGGUACUCUAAAUACAAACGUUUAUAGAUCAUGGUUCACCUUUAUUUGUACAAAGAAGCAUAGGACUAUUAUAUUAUUCGUCAAUCUCCCUCAAGUUAAGGAUUGAAAAAGUAAGAAUACUAUCGAAAUUUAUAUAACAAUAUUAUUUUUAAUAUCGAUUAAUUAUUUAGAGCAUUUUGUUUAUUGAAGUUAAAGCUCUGCUUUUUGGCCAAGCUCAAAGUCAAGCUAAAAAACAUUCAGCCCCUAUUGGCGUCUUGCUUGUUAGGGUACAGGCACCUCGCCGACAGGGGGUCGCCACGUUGGCCCCCUGUUUUUUGGCCUAGCCUUGAGCCUAGCCAAAUAGGGUUUUCUUUGAAAUUGUGAGUUUAUAAUUGUUGCUCAUAGCACUCCAUGUCGAUGAUGACAUAUUUAAAACAAGAAAGCUAGGAGCGUGUUAGUAUCUUAACAUAUCAAGCGGUCCCCUAUUUUUUGGCCUGGCCUUGAGCUUGGCCAAACAUGGUUUUCCUUGAAAUUGAGAGUUUAUAAUUGUUGCUCAUAGCACUUGAUGUGGCUUUCAGCCUGACCAAACAGGGGUUUCCUUGAAAUUGUGAGUUUAUAAUUGUUGCUCAUAGCACUUGAUGUAGAUGAUGACAUAAUUAAAACAAGAAAGCUAGGAGCGUGUUAGUGUCUUAAUAUAUGAAGCGACCCCCUGUUUUUGGCCUGGCCUUGAGCUUGACCAAGCAGGGUUUUCCUUGAAAUUGUGAGUUUAUAAUUAUUGCUCAUAGCACUUGAUGUAAAUAACGACAUAUUUAAAACAAGAAAGCUAGGAUCGUGUUAGUGACAUAUCAAC